AAAGUUAAACGGCCGCGGUAUUCUGACCGUGCAAAGGUAGCAUAAUCACUUGUUCCUUAAUUAGGGACUAGAAUGAACGGCAAAACGAGGGUUUAACUGUCUCUUACUUCUUAUCAGUGAAAUUGACCUUCCCGUGAAGAGGCGGGAAUAACCAAAUAAGACGAGAAGACCCUAUGGAGCUUUAAUUUAUUAGCUCAACUUCUUAACAAUAAUAAUCUAAUGAAUUAACAACUGAAAACUAAGCUAAUAAUUUCGGUUGGGGUGACCUCGGAGAAUAAAACAACCUCCGAAAGAUUAUAAUCUAGACUGACAGAUCAAAGUAUAACCAUGUUAAUCAAAUUGACCCAAUCACUUGAUCAACGAACCAAGUUACCCUAGGGAUAACAGCGCUAUCUUAUUUAAGAGUUCAUAUCGAAAAUAGGGUUUACGACCUCGAUGUUGGAUCAGGAUAUCCCAA
RNAcentral lists this ribosomal RNA (457 nucleotides) under Gerbilliscus kempi (Northern savanna gerbil). Its description in RNAcentral is "partial 16S ribosomal RNA". It matches the Rfam family "Bacterial large subunit ribosomal RNA", at positions 1919 to 2550 of the family's 2925-position model. The record is from RNAcentral. Lineage: Eukaryota; Metazoa; Chordata; Mammalia; Rodentia; Muridae.